AGAGUUUGAUCCUGGCUCAGGACGAACGCUGGCGGCGUGCCUAAUACAUGCAAGUUGAACGAUGAUUUCUGGUACUUGUAUUAGGAUGAAGAGUAGCGAACGGGUGAGUAACGCGUGGGUAACCUACCUCUUAGCGGGGGACAACUAUUGGAAACGAUAGCUAAUACCGCAUAACAAUAUUAAACACAUGUUUAAUAUUUGAAAGUACCAAUUGGUACACUAGGAGAUGGACCCGCGUUGUAUUAGCUAGUUGGUAGUGUAAUGGACUACCAAGGCGAUGAUACAUAGCCGACCUGAGAGGGUGAUCGGCCACAUUGGGACUGAGACACGGCCCAAACUCCUACGGGAGGCAGCAGUAGGGAAUCUUCGGCAAUGGACGAAAGUCUGACCGAGCAACGCCGCGUGAGUGAAGAAGGUUUUCGGAUCGUAAAACUCUGUUGUUAGAGAAGAACGUUGUGUAGAGUGGAAAAUUACACAAGUGACGGUAUCUAACCAGAAAGGGACGGCUAACUACGUGCCAGCAGCCGCGGUAAUACGUAGGUCCCGAGCGUUGUCCGGAUUUAUUGGGCGUAAAGCGAGCGCAGGUGGUUUAAUAAGUCUGAUGUAAAAGGCAGUGGCUCAACCAUUGUGUGCAUUGGAAACUGUUAGACUUGAGUGCAGUAGAGGAGAGUGGAAUUCCAUGUGUAGCGGUGAAAUGCGUAGAUAUAUGGAGGAACACCGGUGGCGAAAGCGGCUCUCUGGACUGUAACUGACACUGAGGCUCGAAAGCGUGGGUAGCAAACAGGAUUAGAUACCCUGGUAGUCCACGCCGUAAACGAUGAGUGCUAGUUGUUUGGGGCUAUCCAGCCCUAAGUGACGCAGCAAACGCAUUAAGCACUCCGCCUGGGGAGUACGACCGCAAGGUUGAAACUCAAAGGAAUUGACGGGGGCCCGCACAAGCGGUGGAGCAUGUGGUUUAAUUCGAAGCAACGCGAAGAACCUUACCAGGUCUUGACAUACCAGUGCUAUUCUUAGAAGAUAAGAAGUUACUUCGGUACACUGCAUACAGUGAUGCAUGAUUGUCGUCAGCUCGUGUCGUGGAGAUGUUGGGUUAAGUUCCCGCAACGGAGCGC
RNAcentral lists this ribosomal RNA (1112 nucleotides) under uncultured Lactococcus sp. RNAcentral describes it as "bacterial SSU rRNA". It matches the Rfam family "Bacterial small subunit ribosomal RNA", at positions 8 to 1099 of the family's 1533-position model. Lineage: Bacteria; Bacillati; Bacillota; Bacilli; Lactobacillales; Streptococcaceae. The record is from RNAcentral.